GAUGAACGCUGGCGGCGUGCCUAAUACAUGCAAGUCGAGCGAACAGACGAGGAGCUUGCUCCUCUGACGUUAGCGGCGGACGGGUGAGUAACACGUGGAUAACCUACCUAUAAGACUGGGAUAACUUCGGGAAACCGGAGCUAAUACCGGAUAAUAUAUUGAACCGCAUGGUUCAAUAGUGAAAGACGGUUUUGCUGUCACUUAUAGAUGGAUCCGCGCCGCAUUAGCUAGUUGGUAAGGUAACGGCUUACCAAGGCAACGAUGCGUAGCCGACCUGAGAGGGUGAUCGGCCACACUGGAAGUGAGACACGGUCCAGACUCCUACGGGAGGCAGCAGUAGGGAAUCUUCCGCAAUGGGCGAAAACCUGACGGAGCAACGCCGCGUGAGUGAUGAAGGUCUUCGGAUCGUAAAACUCUGUUAUUAGGGAAGAACAAAUGUGUAAGUAGCUAUGCACGUCUUGACGGUACCUAAUCAGAAAGCCACGGCUAACUACGUG
Molecule: ribosomal RNA, 497 nt
Filed under: uncultured bacterium
Lineage: Bacteria
Description: partial 16S ribosomal RNA
Rfam family: Bacterial small subunit ribosomal RNA
Source: RNAcentral